Molecule: ribosomal RNA, 510 nt
Filed under: uncultured bacterium
Lineage: Bacteria
Description: partial 16S ribosomal RNA
Rfam family: Bacterial small subunit ribosomal RNA
Source: RNAcentral
GACGAACGCUGGCGGCGUGCUUAACACAUGCAAGUCGAACGAAGAGCGAUGGAAGCUUGCUUCUAUCAAUCUUAGUGGCGAACGGGUGAGUAACGCGUAAUCAACCUGCCCUUCAGAGGGGGACAACAGUUGGAAACGACUGCUAAUACCGCAUACGAUCUAAUCUCGGCAUCGAGGAUAGAUGAAAGGUGGCCUCUACAUGUAAGCUAUCACUGAAGGAGGGGAUUGCGUCUGAUUAGCUAGUUGGAGGGGUAACGGCCCACCAAGGCGAUGAUCAGUAGCCGGUCUGAGAGGAUGAACGGCCACAUUGGGACUGAGACACGGCCCAGACUCCUACGGGAGGCAGCAGUGGGGAAUCUUCCGCAAUGGACGAAAGUCUGACGGAGCAACGCCGCGUGAGCGAUGACGGCCUUCGGGUUGUAAAGCUCUGUUAAUCGGGACGAAAGGCCUCCUUGCGAAUAGGGAGAAGGAUUGACGGUACCGGAAUAGAAAGCCACGGCUAACUACGUG